Molecule: ribosomal RNA, 580 nt
Filed under: Diaporthe sp. 53SS/T
Lineage: Eukaryota; Fungi; Ascomycota; Sordariomycetes; Diaporthales; Diaporthaceae
Description: eukaryotic LSU rRNA
Rfam family: 5.8S ribosomal RNA (bases 206-359)
Source: RNAcentral
UCCGUAGGGUGAACCUGCGGAGGGAUCAUUGCUGGAACGCGCUUCGGCGCACCCAGAAACCCUUUGUGAACUUAUACCUAUCUGUUGCCUCGGCGUAGGCCGGCCUCUUCACUGAGGCCCCCUGGAAACAGGGAGCAGCCCGCCGGCGGCCAACUAAACUCUUGUUUCUAUAGUGAAUCUCUGAGUAAAAACAUAAAUGAAUCAAAACUUUCAACAACGGAUCUCUUGGUUCUGGCAUCGAUGAAGAACGCAGCGAAAUGCGAUAAGUAAUGUGAAUUGCAGAAUUCAGUGAAUCAUCGAAUCUUUGAACGCACAUUGCGCCCUCUGGUAUUCCGGAGGGCAUGCCUGUUCGAGCGUCAUUUCAACCCUCAAGCCUGGCUUGGUGAUGGGGCACUGCCUUCUAGCGAGGGCAGGCCCUGAAAUCUAGUGGCGAGCUCGCUAGGACCCCGAGCGUAGUAGUUAUAUCUCGUUCUGGAAGGCCCUGGCGGUGCCCUGCCGUUAAACCCCCAACUUCUGAAAAUUUGACCUCGGAUCAGGUAGGAAUACCCGCUGAACUUAAGCAUAUCAAUAAGCGGAGGAA